This 479-nucleotide ribosomal RNA is filed under the name uncultured bacterium. RNAcentral's name for it is "partial 16S ribosomal RNA". It matches the Rfam family "Bacterial small subunit ribosomal RNA", at positions 28 to 507 of the family's 1533-position model. The record is from RNAcentral.
GAUGAACGCUAGCGGGAGGCCUAACACAUGCAAGCCGAGCGGUAGAGUUUCUUCGGAAACUUGAGAGCGGCGCACGGGUGCGUAACACGUGUGCAACCUACCUUUAUCUGGGGGAUAGCCUUUCGAAAGGAAGAUUAAUACCCCAUAAUAUAAUGAUUGGCAUCAAUUAUUAUUGAAAACUCCGGUGGAUAGAGAUGGGCACGCGCAAGAUUAGAUAGUUGGUGAGGUAACGGCUCACCAAGUCAAUGAUCUUUAGGGGUCCUGAGAGGGAGAUCCCCCACACUGGUACUGAGGCACGGACCAGACUCCUACGGGAGGCAGCAGUGAGGAAUAUUGGACAAUGGGUGAGAGCCUGAUCCAGCCAUCCCGCGUGAAGGAUGACGGUCCUAUGGAUUGUAAACUUCUUUUGUACAGGGAUAAACCUACCCUCGUGAGGGUAGCUGAAGGUACUGUACGAAUAAGCACCGGCUAACUCCGUG